This is a long non-coding RNA of Gadus morhua (Atlantic cod), 942 nucleotides long. RefSeq lists it as uncharacterized. The transcript is spliced from 3 exons. The record is from RefSeq and is a predicted model, not a curated record. Lineage: Eukaryota; Metazoa; Chordata; Actinopteri; Gadiformes; Gadidae.
CAUAGAGAGAAAACGUUUCUUGACCGAACCUUGUGUUCAUGUCCGUCCCUCCAUCCCCCCCCAAAGCGCCAUUAAGCUAACCCAGACUUGGUCGCUCUCUCUCUCUCUCCCCUGGUAAGGGUCCUUCCAGAACCUGGGGGAGUCCGGCCGGAGAGACUCCCGCACCACCCUGCGAGGACCGAGGGAAGAGAGGCCCGACGUCUCCAAGCUACGCAAGGUCACCCUCCCUGAGGAGCUGGGAGAGGCCUUGUCCAACGGCACUGUCCUCUGCCAGCUGGCCAAUCAGAUCCGCCCGCGCUCCGUGGCCAUCAUCCACGUCCCGUCCACCGCCGUGGAAUCCAUCUGUGCCGCCCAGUUGAUCACCGAGGACGAGGGCUUGGGUCGGCUGGCCCACACGGUGCAGGUCUUGGUGGACCUCGCGCCGACUGCUGCCAGCCACCGCCGCGCUAGCAGACCGGAGCCGCUAUGGGGAGGACAGGCUAAGCACUGCUCCAUCCUUCUCUUAGCUCCAUGUCCUCCACUGAUUUAGCUGUCAUCAAAAGGUCAAAAAUGGUACCCCAAAAAAAUCAAUGAAACACUUGGUUUGCAAUCAUUGGUUGUUGAAAGUGAAAGAUGGAUUUCUUUCGUGUUUACAAGUAAAAACAGGUGUUUAGUUCGAUUUUUUUGGUUUUCAAAUAGGACUAUAUAAAUUAUGCACAUGGCAAGAUUCAUACUUUUCUUUUGUUAGGAUUUUUAACUUUAAACAUUUUUUUACUCGUCAAACAUCUAAUUAUCAUGCAAUUGUUCAUACGUUAUUAUCAUUAUCUGCAUUAUCCCGACCAACACUAACAGCAUAUGACUGCACUGAAUCCAUUUAAAAAAGCAUGUAUUUUCAAUCUUUGUCAGUUCCAUUCCCUGUCGUCGUCAUUCAGUAAAUUCAAAUAAAAAGCUACACACACUGCA